Long non-coding RNA from Diceros bicornis minor, 1420 nucleotides. RefSeq lists it as uncharacterized. NCBI's taxonomy places the organism in Eukaryota, Metazoa, Chordata, Mammalia, Perissodactyla, Rhinocerotidae. The transcript has 3 exons. The record is from RefSeq and is a predicted model, not a curated record.
UGGAGCUGGCGCUGGGACAGCAAGGGAGUGCUGGAGCAGCCGGGGCCUGCCCGGGCAUCUCUCUCUCCAUGUAGUCUCAGGGCUUCCCUAGGGGUCUCUCCAGGUAGGCUGGUUUGGGCUUUUCCAAAGCAUGGUGACCUCAAGGCGGUUGGACGGCUAACAUGGCAGCUUAGGGUUCCAGAGGUGAGGCCCCAAGGGAACAAGGUGUCACAUACCAUCUAUGAUAGUUGAUUUUCCGUGUCAAUUAGACUGGAUCAAGGCAUGUCCAGAUAUCUGGUUAAAUAUUAUCUCUGCAUGUGUCUGUGAGGGGUUUCCGGAAGAGAUUAGCUUUUGGUUCAGUAGACUGAGUAAAGUGGAUUGCCCUUCUCAGUGUGAGUGGGGAUCAUCCAAUCCAUCGAGGGCCUAGAUAGAAGAACAAGACAGAGGAAGGAUGAAUUUGCUUUCUGCCUGACCACUGCAGCUGAGACAGCGACCUUCUCCUGCCCUCCCUCGGUGCUCCUACUUCUCAGGCCUCAGGACCACACCGACAUCACCAGCCUUCCUGGGUCUCCAGUUUGCAGAUGGCAGAUGUGGGACUUCUCAGCCCCCAUAAUUGGACUGAAGUUUAUUCAGUGGAAAAUAAAAGAAGAAACCAGAAAACAUGACCACCAUUCAAACUACAGAUAGUGGACAAAUGGUGUUGUGUCAAGAAGGCUCUGGUGAAUAAAAUUUAUUAUCACGGCCUCUACUUGAUUUUUUGAGAACCCCUUAAAAUCAAGAAUUAUUCAGUGCACAUCAGGGCUUUGGUACAGUUCACACGUUUUUAGAGGGUAUUUUUCAUUACUGAGCCUUCAUCUUGUUUCCAGGGCAGCGCUGGGCUCUUGGUGAAUGCUGGUGCAAGACACGCUGCACAGGUACUGGAAAAGUCAAGUCCGUCUUGCUCUCUGCCCUCAAGGAACUUAGACUAACUUCUAGAGAGAUGAUUACGGCGCAGGUAGAAGGCGAGAGCUUACGAGGUCAUUAAUCACUUUAGUCCUUCAUCUCAUUCUUGCCUUUGUAAAAUGGAUGGUCUAAAUAUUUUCUUCAUCCUGUUCUAUCAGGCACUGUGACACUGGCCAGGCACUCAUGUGUGAUAGCACAGAAUUUAUAAACUUCUCACCAUUCAAGUUGCCUUUGUGUAAGAUAAGUUUUGGUAAAUGUUAUCAGCCUUCACCUGGUAAAUAUUUGAGUUAUCAGAAAACCUCUGAUAUCUUACUAUUAACUACAUGAUUCUACUUUUCCUGCAACCUUCAAAUGGGGACACCUUAUUCUACAGAAGUUACCUAAUUUAUGUGAAGACAGAGAUUCACAACGUCAAAGACAAGAUGAUUCAAAUAGAAACCAUUUACUUUAAAACUUCUAGCCUGUUGUGGUACCUAAGUCUCAUGUAAAUGGGAGUAUU